This 1189-nucleotide ribosomal RNA is filed under the name Salmonella enterica subsp. enterica serovar Muenchen. RNAcentral describes it as "partial 23S ribosomal RNA". It matches the Rfam family "Bacterial large subunit ribosomal RNA", at positions 1 to 1221 of the family's 2925-position model. RNAcentral also lists the same sequence under 2 other names. Lineage: Bacteria; Pseudomonadati; Pseudomonadota; Gammaproteobacteria; Enterobacterales; Enterobacteriaceae. The record is from RNAcentral.
GGGUUGUGAGGUUAAGCGACUAAGCGUACACGGUGGAUGCCCUGGCAGUCAGAGGCGAUGAAGGGCGUGCUAAUCUGCGAUAAGCGCCGGUAAGGUGAUAUGAACCGUUAUAACCGGCGAUACCCGAAUGGGGAAACCCAGUGUGAUUCGUCACACUAUCAUUAACUGAAUCCAUAGGUUAAUGAGGCGAACCGGGGGAACUGAAACAUCUAAGUACCCCGAGGAAAAGAAAUCAACCGAGAUUCCCCCAGUAGCGGCGAGCGAACGGGGAGGAGCCCAGAGCCUGAAUCAGCAUGUGUGUUAGUGGAAGCGUCUGGAAAGGCGCGCGAUACAGGGUGACAGCCCCGUACACAAAAGCGUAUGUGCUGUGAGCUCGAUGAGUAGGGCGGGACACGUGGUAUCCUGUCUGAAUAUGGGGGGACCAUCCUCCAAGGCUAAAUACUCCUGACUGACCGAUAGUGAACCAGUACCGUGAGGGAAAGGCGAAAAGAACCCCGGCGAGGGGAGUGAAAAAGAACCUGAAACCGUGUACGUACAAGCAGUGGGAGCACCCUUUGGGGUGUGACUGCGUACCUUUUGUAUAAUGGGUCAGCGACUUAUAUUCUGUAGCAAGGUUAACCGAAUAGGGGAGCCGGAGGGAAACCGAGUCUUAAUUGGGCGUUAAGUUGCAGGGUAUAGACCCGAAACCCGGUGAUCUAGCCAUGGGCAGGUUGAAGGUUGGGUAACACUAACUGGAGGACCGAACCGACUAAUGUUGAAAAAUUAGCGGAUGACCUGUGGCUGGGGGUGAAAGGCCAAUCAAACCGGGAGAUAGCUGGUUCUCCCCGAAAGCUAUUUAGGUAGCGCCUCGUGAAUUCAUCUCCGGGGGUAGAGCACUGUUUCGGCUAGGGGGUCAUCCCGACUUACCAACCCGAUGCAAACUGCGAAUACCGGAGAAUGUUAUCACGGGAGACACACGGCGGGUGCUAACGUCCGUCGUGAAGAGGGAAACAACCCAGACCGCCAGCUAAGGUCCCAAAGUCAUGGUUAAGUGGGAAACGAUGUGGGAAGGCCCAGACAGCCAGGAUGUUGGCUUAGAAGCAGCCAUCAUUUAAAGAAAGCGUAAUAGCUCACUGGUCGAGUCGGCCUGCGCGGAAGAUGUAACGGGGCUAAACCAUGCACCGAAGCUGCGGCAGCGACACUCAGGUGU